GGGGAAUUUUGGACAAUGGGCGCAAGCCUGAUCCAGCCAUGCCGCGUGAGUGAAGAAGGCCCUCGGGUUGUAAAGCUCUUUUGUCCGGAAAGAAAAGCAUUCGGUGAAUACCCGGAUGUUCUGACGGUACCGGAUGAAUAAGCACCGGCUAACUCCGUGCCAGCAGCCGCUGUAAUACGGAGGGUGCAAGCGUUAUCCGGAUUCACUGGGCUUAAUGGGUGCGUAGGUGGGUAUGUAAGUGAGUGGUGAAAUCCCCGAGCUUAACUUGGGAACUGUCAUUGAUACUAUAUAUCUUGAAUACCGUAGAGGUAAGCGGAAUAUGUCAUGUAGCGGUGAAAUGCUUAGAUAUGACAUGGAACACCAAUUGCGAAGGCAGCUUACUAUGCGGUGAUUGACACUGAGGAACGAAAGCGUGGGUAGCAA
RNAcentral lists this ribosomal RNA (423 nucleotides) under uncultured bacterium. RNAcentral's name for it is "bacterial SSU rRNA". It matches the Rfam family "Bacterial small subunit ribosomal RNA", at positions 356 to 771 of the family's 1533-position model. The record is from RNAcentral.